AAUAACCUUCAAUAAGAUAUGAACCAACAGUUAACUCCUCCCAUCGGCACAGUAGCUGCUCCAUUUCUCUCACUGCUAAAAUAAUCAACCCCUUCAUUUUCUGCUUCUGCAAAUCAACUCUACCAUUUUCUGCUUCUGCAAAUCGUCGUCUUCAUCAUCUUCAUCAAAAACAUCAUCAAAUUUUCUGCAAAUCGUCGUCGUCAUCAUCUGCAAAUCGCCGUCUUCAUCAUCUCCAUUUUCUGCUUCUGCUCAUCAAAUAAUGGCCGAUCUUCCUUGCAAAAAUGAUGGUUUUUCUUUGAUAACAUCUGCUCAUCAACUUCCAUACAGUGGUCGUAUGGGUGAUGAAUUAGCGCCUCCAUCAAUAGGUUCUUCAUCUUUUGAAGGAGGGGAAAUUUUAAGAAUAAGGUCAUCUAUAAGACGCGGAUGAGUUUAUAAAUUUAUUACAUGGUUCGGAUCCGGUGAAAGUUGAGAUUAAUCAUUUGGAAAAUGAAGUUAGAGAUAAGCAUCUGAUGCACAAGCUGAAAUCAAGGCGUUGAGGUUAUCUGUGCAUUCUAGAGAAAGAGCAAUUGAAGAGUUGGGUUUUGAUAAGGAAAAUUGAAGAAAGUAUUGUUCAGAGAGUAAUAUACACAAUCGGUUGAUGAAGAUGAAGAACAAAAUGUUCUUGUAGAAACAUGAAAGGAUCUGCAACAAAAAUAAAAAAAGUAACAUAAAAAAGGGACGCGUGGAUCCAGACCAAAUAAGGGGAAAUCGAAGAAAGGUACCAGCAAACAAAUUAAAGACGACGAAGAAGAAAUUAAUUUUCAUGCUGAAAAAUCACUUGUUGAAGAAGAAAUUAAUUUUCAUGCUGAAAAAUCACUUGUUGAAGAACAAAUUAAUUUUCAUGCUGAAAAAUCACUUGUUGAAGCUUUGUUAUCUUUGUUAUGUAAUUGUUUCAUGUUGAAUACUACCUUCACAUACAGAUGUUGUGGAUAUAUUCUGUGCAGAAAUUUGUUGCGGAUAUUUCGUGCACAUAGAUCUGUUGUUGAUAUAUUCUCCACACAAAUGCGUUGUGUAUAUAUUCUGCACACAAAUUUGUUGUGGAUAUUUUCUGCAUAUAUACAUGUGUAAUUUUUCUGCAUAAACAGAUGUUGUGUA
This is a long non-coding RNA of Papaver somniferum (opium poppy), 1134 nucleotides long. RefSeq lists it as uncharacterized. The record is from RefSeq and is a predicted model, not a curated record. Lineage: Eukaryota; Viridiplantae; Streptophyta; Magnoliopsida; Ranunculales; Papaveraceae. The transcript is spliced from 4 exons.